This 331-nucleotide ribosomal RNA is filed under the name uncultured eukaryote. RNAcentral describes it as "partial 18S ribosomal RNA". It matches the Rfam family "Eukaryotic small subunit ribosomal RNA", at positions 1470 to 1796 of the family's 1831-position model. The record is from RNAcentral.
CCCUUAGAUGUUCUGGGCCGCACGCGCGCUACACUGACGAAGUCAGCGAGCAUGUCCUACGCCGACAGGUGCGGGGAAUCUUGUCAAACUUCGUCGUGAUGGGGAUUGAUUAUUGAAAUUCUUGAUCAUCAACGAGGAAUUCCUAGUAAGCGCAAGUCAGCAGCUUGCGUUGAUUACGUCCCUGCCCUUUGUACACACCGCCCGUCGCUACUACCGAUUGAAUGGUUUAGUGAGAUCUUCGGAUUGGCGCCGCUGCGGCUCAGCAAUGGGCUCGGUGGAUGCCGAAAAGUUGAUCAAACUUGAUCAUUUAGAGGAAGUAAAAGUCGUAACA